RNAcentral lists this long non-coding RNA (873 nucleotides) under Sus scrofa (pig). Its description in RNAcentral is "lncRNA (ENSSSCG00070006030.1)". The record is from RNAcentral. Lineage: Eukaryota; Metazoa; Chordata; Mammalia; Artiodactyla; Suidae.
CCUUGCCUCUGAUACCCAUGCAUCUGGAAAGAUAGCUGUGCUGCACCAGAAACAAAACGGUGGAAGCAGUUGGUUGGAGAACAAGGUGGGACGGGGCAGUCGAGGCAGCAGGCUGGUAUCACGGGUCCUUGUCUUGCUGAGAAGAGUCUUAGAAGAUACUCUGAUGCUCACCUCAUGACAGGACAUCAUCAGGGGAGCCAGCACGUAGUUAAGACCCUGCGGUUCUUGUUCUGGAGUUUACACCGCAUCGGAGGAGACAGGAGGACCCCACCCAGGAGGAGAGAAGGUUGGGAGUGGGGGUCCCGGACCUGCGGGGCAGAAGACAAGAGGAAGCUCUUGCUCCCCAAGCAUCACCCCUAUUUCUAGCCCACGUUUGUAUCCUAUGCCUUCCUUCCAAGUUUCUGUACAGAAGCGAGAGAUGUCUUGGGCCCUCUGGAUGCACUGAGACAUUGGAGAAAACAGAUCCAAGAGGUGAGCUUGAAGAGCAGAAAGGGGCUAGGAGGAGUUUGUCUGGGAAAGAACAGACUUAAUUGGCACUAGAGCGCUCCCCUUAUAGAAGCACAGGGAUCUUUGGCUUUAAGAACUAGGGAAGCCUGAUGGGUAGGGCCAGAUUUUUCCAGGCUGGCCACCUCCAGGGGAGCUCACUGAUGAUUAUUCCCUGGGACCUCUGCCUCUGACGUCCUGCCCCCCGCAGUGAGCCACUGCCAAGCCCUGCUUUUCCAGGAUAUCAUCCAAGAUCUAUAGGAUAUUACUCCUUUUAGCUGGCAUUCUGGAAGAGCAUAUCAAAUCCAGAAAAGCCAGGCUCUUUGUUCCUGUCCACAACAACAUGCCCUCUGGAAUAAACAACACAAAGAAAUGGAAGAUGGAGUUUGG